RNAcentral lists this long non-coding RNA (1688 nucleotides) under Nicotiana tabacum (common tobacco). Its description in RNAcentral is "long non-coding RNA (NTAB_LNC006499)". Lineage: Eukaryota; Viridiplantae; Streptophyta; Magnoliopsida; Solanales; Solanaceae. The record is from RNAcentral.
AUUAAUGAACCAUCAUUUAUAAAACAUUAAUACAAAUGGGCCGUCAAAGUCUCUAACAUACUGUACAAAAUGAACUUCUGUGUCUACAAAGCCUCCAAGAUUAUUUGACAUAAAAUGGGACAGGGUACCGGCUGACCCAUAAAUCUGUAGCAAAAUUCUGACAUGAUGAUUCAUGGACUCGGCUGCUCUCCGAAUCAGGUGGAGUCUUACCGAUCCUUCGCUGAAUGCCAAUCUCAUCUACUAUGAGGGCUCGUCAAACUGAUUAUCUAUACCUGCAGGCAUGAAUGCAGCAUCCCCAACAAAAUGAGAUCAGUACGAAUAAUGUACUGAGUAUGUAAGGCAGAACUGAAACAUAACAAUAAGUCAACAUUAAUUAAAGAUAUAUAAGAAUCAACCUGCAUCUCUGAGGUGCCACCGUAUAUUCAUACUUACAUAUAUAAUGCUUCGCUUUGAGACUACUAUUCAUAUAGUAUGAUGCAUGACUGCCCAACUGAUCAGUGGUAACUUCCCGACCGACUGUAGCGCGGUGGUAAAUGCAUGACUGCCCGACCGACCAUAGUUCGAUGGUAAAUAUGUAACUGCCCAACCGGCCGUAGCUCGGUGGUAAAUGUGUAACUGCCCAAUCGGCCGUAGCUCGGUGGUAAAAUUAAUAUGCAUGUCUGCCCAUGCGGCGGUAAAUAAUGAUACGUAACUGCCCAACUAGUGGUAAAUGUGUAACUGCCCAACCGGCCGUAGCUUGGUGGUAAAUGCAUAUGUAUGAAAAUGCACGUAUUACAGUAUUAUGAACAUUAACGUCUUUAUUCAAUACCUCAAUAGGGAACUAGAUACAUACAUAGACAUGCUUGAAUAUCACUUUACAGGAAGGAAUAAUAUAGACAUCCUUAGCUGCUAAGAGUAGAAACACUUAUAAAAUAGCAUUACGUUAAUAUAUCGUUACUUGGAUCAUGCCAAUAGAAAAGAAGGAUAGCAUUAAUAUACCUUUAGUGACGACUUUAUUGAAGGUGAUGAACUUGUCCAUCUUCAAACGUAAUCUGCGCCAAUUUUUCUAGAAAAUCCUUCUGAAAAUGUAGCAUGAGCCUUAAAAGAAAAGAAGGAAACCACAACGACAAAGAUGUGGGAAGUUUCAGACCUUAAGAGUGUAGGAUUUUAGAGCCUCCACGGAGCAAAUAGACUAUGCUUAUAAUUUAUGCUUCUAUGAAGCCAAAUAAAAUAAGAAAAAUUCUUGAAAAGCUAAAAAGACCUCUAAUCUCAAGAGCACGCUCUCUUGCUAUUGUAUUUACAUAGUAAGUAGGGAGAAAGAAAAGGAUAAAGGAAGUUAUACUUGAAAAAUAAUUUUUCCCAAAAAAGUACUUAAAGUAGGAGAUAGAAAACACUUAGUAAGUGCUCAAUCUAAUGUCAUCAUCGUAGCAAGCUUACUCAACAAUUUACUUAUGCAACAAUAGAUCACCCCAAGGUAGAAGCCAAAACCAAACACUUGAAUUCUAGAGAUAAGGUAGUUACAACCUCAAGCUGCACUCAACUCCACAGUUUUCUUCGACCCUCAAUGACCCUUUCUUACUUACGUUCUUUUUUUUUUUACCUUGGGAAAUACCUUCUUAUGAAGUUGAUAUAUCAAUUAGGAAGAAUGUCGGACAUUAUCUAAAUAAUCCACUAACCUAAUGAACUAAGAGUCAGCACUACCUAAAGCA